CCCACGUGACCGCCACGCCCCAACCACCUUCCCUUUAAGCCGUCCCUUUAACAGCUGGGACCCUCAUGUGUAUUUCCGGGUUUCCACUGUGCUGCUGCUCACUGUUGGUUGUGGCGUUGGUUGUUAAUAAAACAAUCUCAAAUCUCCAACUCGACUCAUCGCUGAACGAAUUCAUCUCUAAAACUCGAGGAUCUGCGGUUGGGCUUUGUUGAUGCCUGGUUUACCUUCUGAUGAGAACAAGUAACAUCCACUUCCUCAGACAAUCCGUUACUCGACGGUCAGGUUUUUUUUCUCCCCCUUCAUCGACUCGCUUGCUGACGGAGGAUGGCGAGCUACCCACACACCACCUGGUGGUAGGAAAAAGAAAGACACUCUCCACACAGGAAAACCAAACAACACUUUCCAUACAGGCAACAAAAUAAACUCUAAGGGAGUAUCUAAAGGAAAAGAACAAUUCUCCCGUUGCUCUUGGACUUUUGAACUACAUUUGGUUUUGAAGUAUUAUUGAUUAUUUCAUUUUUGGUUUGUUCUUUUUCCCCGUCCUUGUUUCUUUUGAACAAUUUCUCUUUGUUUAGUUUUUGCUGUUAGUAUUAUUAUUAUUAUUAUUAUUGUCAUUAUUAUUAUCAUUACUAUUUCCACUGCAAUAAAUGGCAAUAUAAACAAAGCUCUUUGCAUCAGUUGCAUCAAUUAUCCACCAAAUCAUGACUCCAUGCCGUACCUAUUUCUGAUUUUAUAGAGUGGUUAACACUAAGCCCUGCAGUCAGACCUGCGCAUUUAAGAAGAGCGUUACAGGACACUUUAAGAAGGUAAAAGUUAUUUUUCCAAAAUGGCUUGAUGCAUUUUCAUGAAACUUCUAUCUUCAGGAUACAACCCUGAGACUUACUGGUAAUUAUUGAUCAAAGUGGAAGAAAAUUAUGCACAAAAAUGGAAGUCUAACUUGUCAUCUUUGAAAAAAAUCUAAACAGGAAUUUUAUGAUUAAUUGGUGGUUAGAUUUUUUUAUUUAUUU
Long non-coding RNA from Xiphophorus hellerii (green swordtail), 1007 nucleotides. RefSeq lists it as uncharacterized. The transcript has 3 exons. Lineage: Eukaryota; Metazoa; Chordata; Actinopteri; Cyprinodontiformes; Poeciliidae. The record is from RefSeq and is a predicted model, not a curated record.